RNAcentral lists this ribosomal RNA (500 nucleotides) under uncultured bacterium. RNAcentral's name for it is "bacterial SSU rRNA". It matches the Rfam family "Bacterial small subunit ribosomal RNA", at positions 30 to 504 of the family's 1533-position model. The record is from RNAcentral.
UGAACGCUGGCGGCGUGCCUAACACAUGCAAGUCGAACGAGAAAGCGGGCUUCGGCCCGUGAGUAAAGUGGCAGACGGGUGAGUAACACGUGGGUAACCUGCCCGGAGGUGGGGGAUAACUCUUCGAAAGAGGAGCUAAUACCGCAUAACACCUCGAGAGCUUCGGCUUUUGAGAUCAAAGCUUGCCUCUACUCGUAAGCAAGCGCCACCGGAGGGGCCCGCGCCCCAUUAGCUUGUUGGUGAGGUAACGGCUCACCAAGGCUACGAUGGGUAGCCGGCCUGAGAGGGUGAUCGGCCACACUGGAACUGAGACACGGUCCAGACUCCUACGGGAGGCAGCAGUGAGGAAUUUUGCGCAAUGGGCGAAAGCCUGACGCAGCGACGCCGCGUGGAGGACGAAGGCCUUCGGGUCGUAAACUCCUGUCAAGCGGGACGAAUCCCUGGCGAAUGAAUAAGUCGCCAGGUUGACGGUACCGCUGGAGGAAGCCCCGGCUAACUCC